RNAcentral lists this transfer RNA (73 nucleotides) under Elusimicrobiota bacterium. RNAcentral's name for it is "tRNA-Arg". It matches the Rfam family "tRNA". Rfam says of the family: Transfer RNA (tRNA) molecules are approximately 80 nucleotides in length. Their secondary structure includes four short double-helical elements and three loops (D, anti-codon, and T loops). The record is from RNAcentral. Lineage: Bacteria; Pseudomonadati; Elusimicrobiota.
GCCCCGUUAGCUCAACCGGAUAGAGUAUCGGUCUUCGGAACCGAGGGUAUAGGUUCAAAUCCUUUACGGGGCA